GAUGAACGCUGGCGGCGUGCCUAAUACAUGCAAGUCGAGCGAACAGACGAGGAGCUUGCUCCUCUGACGUUAGCGGCGGACGGGUGAGUAACACGUGGAUAACCUACCUAUAAGACUGGGAUAACUUCUGGAAACCGGAGCUAAUACCGGAUAAUAUAUUGAACCGCAUGGUUCAAUAGUGAAAGACGGUUUUGCUGUCACUUAUAGAUGGAUCCGCGCCGCAUUAGCUAGUUGGUAAGGUAACGGCUUACCAAGGCAACGAUGCGUAGCCGACCUGAGAGGGUGAUCGGCCACACUGGAACUGAGACACGGGCCAGACUCCUACGGGAGGCAGAAGUAGGGAAUCUUCCGAAAUGGGCGAAAGCCUGACGGAGCAACGCCGCGUGAGUGAUGAAGGUCUUCGGAUCGUAAAACUCUGUUAUUAGGGAAGAACAAAUGUGUAAGUAACUAUGCACGUCUUGACGGUACCUAAUCAGAAAGACACGGCUAACUACGUG
Molecule: ribosomal RNA, 497 nt
Filed under: uncultured bacterium
Lineage: Bacteria
Description: partial 16S ribosomal RNA
Rfam family: Bacterial small subunit ribosomal RNA
Source: RNAcentral